AUUGAACGCUGGCGGCAGGCCUAACACAUGCAAGUCGAACGGUAACAGGAAGCAGCUUGCUGCUUUGCUGACGAGUGGCGGACGGGUGAGUAAUGUCUGGGAAACUGCCCGAUGGAGGGGGAUAACUACUGGAAACGGUAGCUAAUACCGCAUAACGUCGCAAGACCAAAGAGGGGGACCUUAGGGCCUCUUGCCAUCGGAUGUGCCCAGAUGGGAUUAGCUAGUAGGUGGGGUAACGGCUCACCUAGGCGACGAUCCCUAGCUGGUCUGAGAGGAUGACCAGACACACUGGAACUGAGACACGGUCCAGACUCCUACGGGAGGCAGCAGUGGGGACUAUUGCACAAUGGGCGAAAGCCUGAUGCAGCCAUGCCGCGGGUAUGAAGAAGGACUUCGGGUUGUAAAGUACUUUCAGCGGGGAGGAAGGGAGUAAAGUUAAUACCUUUGCUCAUUGACGUUACCCGCAGAAGAAGCACCGGCUAACUCCGUG
Molecule: ribosomal RNA, 490 nt
Filed under: uncultured bacterium
Lineage: Bacteria
Description: partial 16S ribosomal RNA
Rfam family: Bacterial small subunit ribosomal RNA
Source: RNAcentral